RNAcentral lists this ribosomal RNA (473 nucleotides) under uncultured bacterium. RNAcentral describes it as "bacterial SSU rRNA". It matches the Rfam family "Bacterial small subunit ribosomal RNA", at positions 355 to 825 of the family's 1533-position model. The record is from RNAcentral.
UGGGGAAUAUUGGACAAUGGGCGAAAGCCUGAUCCAGCCAUGCCGCGUGUGUGAAGAAGGCCUUCGGGUUGUAAAGCACUUUCGGACGGAACGAAAUCGCGCGGGCGAAUACCCCGCGUGGAUGACGGUACCGUAAGAAGAAGCACCGGCUAACUACGUGCCAGCAGCCGCGGUAAUACGUAGGGUGCGAGCGUUAAUCGGAAUUACUGGGCGUAAAGUGUGCGCAGGCGGCCGAGCAAGUCGAGUGUGAAAGCCCCGAGCUUAACUUGGGAAUUGCGCUCGAAACUACUUGGCUGGAGUGUGGCAGAGGAGGGUGGAAUUCCACGUGUAGCGGUGAAAUGCGUAGAGAUGUGGAGGAACACCGAUGGCGAAGGCAGCCCUCUGGGCCAACACUGACGCUCAUGCACGAAAGCGUGGGGAGCAAAACAGGAUUAGAUACCCUAGUAGUCCCUGAGCGGGCUGGCAAGGCGCAU